UGUCAGUGGAAAGCGUGGAGGUAACAUGAUUUGUACCACAUUGGGAUUAUAAACAAAAGCCUCUCAUUGAGCCCUUUGCACAAACAGCCGUGGUUUGCAGCUGCAGCCCUGAUGCAUUCAGAUUUCUGAAAACUUGGAAAAGGGUACAAGGGAGCACGUGCAGAAUAUUAUUUUACUUCAGAAAUAUUAAAAUUCAUUGUGGUAAGCAUCAAUGAAUCUGCAUUUGGAAACAAAAGGCAACUUUCAGAAGCCAUUGUCCAACUGCCAGGGAUUGCAAUAUGGAAGGUGCGUGGCAGCUGCUUUUUCAGACAAGC
This 314-nucleotide long non-coding RNA is filed under the name Gallus gallus (chicken). RNAcentral's name for it is "lncRNA (ENSGALG00010001653.1)". Lineage: Eukaryota; Metazoa; Chordata; Aves; Galliformes; Phasianidae. The record is from RNAcentral.